This 737-nucleotide long non-coding RNA is filed under the name Pan troglodytes (chimpanzee). Its description in RNAcentral is "long non-coding RNA NONPTRT009725". Lineage: Eukaryota; Metazoa; Chordata; Mammalia; Primates; Hominidae. The record is from RNAcentral.
GUUGGCUGCGGGCAGAGAAGCGGCGGAAGGAUUCCCGACUCCGGGAAGCCAGGUGUCGGAAGGAGGAAGUGCGCUUGAAGGGGGUCCGGCUGGCCGACUCUGCACUCGUCCGUUCGUGGCCCACCGUGGUGGUCACCAAAUUGAGGGCUUCCUGGAAGGACCUCCUCACGGUGCCCAUCCAGUGGGUCAUGUGGGUCUGAGCCACCGUGAGUUUAUCUCCCAGGUAAUCCAUGGGGCCAGCCAGGAGGAGAGGUUAGAAGGAAGUUAGGGAGGGAGAGAGCAAUUAAAACGCCAGUGUCCUCUUGCCUCUUUGGACUCUUUUGCUCAUGGAAGUUUUGGGCUUGCUUGGAGGAAAAAAAAUUAAAAACAGCAGCUUUCUUCAGGCAAACCAAGGGUGGAGCAACACCGUCAGUCAGAAGGCAGCGGAUGGCACAGGGCUUCCGCGUAAGGCCUGCAUCGCCUGAGUCAUGGUUUUCUCAUCUUGUAUGAGGCCCACCCCCUUCAAAAGGUUGUGACAAAAAAAACAACUGAGAUAAUUUGUGCUGCUGGCACACAGUUAACACUCAAUAAGGCCGGGCACAGUGGCUUACACCUCUAAUCCCAGCACUUUGGGAGGCUGAGGCAGGUGGAUCACUUGAGGCCAGGAGUUCGAUACCAGCCUGACCAACAUGGUGAAACCCCAUCUCAACUAAAAAUACAAAAAUUAGCCAGGCAUGGUGGUGUGCACCUGUAGUCCC